This 1242-nucleotide ribosomal RNA is filed under the name metagenome. RNAcentral describes it as "bacterial LSU rRNA". It matches the Rfam family "Bacterial large subunit ribosomal RNA", at positions 1564 to 2815 of the family's 2925-position model. The record is from RNAcentral.
UGAAUACGAGAUGCUACGGCGUCGAAGCAGUCUAUGUCAUACUUCCAAGAAAAGCUCGCACUGUCAUAAACAAAUAAUGCCUGUACCAUAACCGACACAGGUGGGUAGGUAGAGUAUACUAAGGGGCGCGAGAUAACUCUCUCUAAGGAACUCGGCAAAAUGACUCCGUAACUUCGGGAGAAGGAGUGCCUUAUUUAUAAGGUUGCAAUAACAAGAUCCAAGCAACUGUUUAUCAAAAACACAGGUCUCCGCUAAGUCGUAAGACGAUGUAUGGGGGCUGACGCCUGCCCAGUGCCAGAAGGUUAAAGAGGUUGGUUAGCAUUCGCGAAGCUGAUAACUGAAGCCCUGGUGAACGGCGGCCGUAACGAUAACGGUCCUAAGGUAGCGAAAUUCCUUGUCGGGUAAGUUCCGACCCGCACGAAAGGCGUAAUGAUUUGGAUACUGUCUCGGAGAGGGGCUCGGUGAAAUAGACUUGUCUGUGAAGAUGCGGACUACCUGCACCAGGACAGAAAGACCCUAUGAAGCUUUACUGUAACUUGAGAUUGAAAUUGGACUUUACUUGCGCAGUAUAGGUGGGAGGCGUUGAUAAUAUUCUUGCGGGAUUAUUUGAGCCAUCAGUGAGAUACCACUCUUGUAAUGUUAGAUUUCUAACUUUGUAUCAUUAUCUGGUCAAAGGACAGUUUCAGGCGGGCAGUUUGACUGGGGCGGUCGCCUCCUAAACGGUAACGGAGGCGCACAAAGGUUUCCUCUGAACGGGUAGAAAUCGUAUCUAGAGUGUAAAGGCAUAAGGAAGCUUGACUGUGAGACCUACAAGUCGAGCAGGGACGAAAGUCGGUCUUAGUGAUCUGACGGUGCUGAGUGGAAAGGCCGUCACUCAACGGAUAAAAGUUACUCUAAGGAUAACAGGCUGAUCUCCCCCAAGAGUUCACAUCGACGGGGAGGUUUGGCACCUCGAUGUCGGCUCAUCGCAUCCUGGGGCGGUAGUACGUCCCAAGGGUUGGGCUGUUCGCCCAUGAAAGCGGUACGCGAGCUGGGUUCAGAACGUCGUGAGACAGUUCGGUCCAUAUCCGGUGUAGGCGUUAGAAUAUUGAGAGGAGCCUUCUUUAGUACGAGAGGACCGAGAAGGACAUACCUCUGGUGUACCAGUUAUCGUGCCAACGGUAAACGCUGGGUAGCUAUGUAUGGAGUGGAGAACCGCUGAAAGCAUCUAAGUGGGAAGCCCACCUCAAGAUAAGUAUUCUC